UUUGCUUUUCUCCUAGUUUUUUUUAGUCUCUCUUUUGGAGCCCAAGUACGCGCCCUUUGAAUGGGGUUUCAGUGCUUUUUAGUUGGAUUUAUGGGAAGAUCUACAUGUUGUAGUUGGAUUCCUUAUUGUGCGGUGUGAACCCGUUCCAAGCUUCGUAGCAAUCAUGGAGGUGGGCACUGUUCUAGUCCCCUUUGCCUAGUCCAUUUCCAAUUCGUCCGGCAUGGUUCUAGUCUCUGAAUGCUCUCUAGUUUUGCUACUUUCUCCCGCUUUCUACCUAGAUCCAUCAUUUCAAGGCC
Molecule: unclassified non-coding RNA, 296 nt
Filed under: Hevea brasiliensis (rubber tree)
Lineage: Eukaryota; Viridiplantae; Streptophyta; Magnoliopsida; Malpighiales; Euphorbiaceae
Source: RNAcentral